Molecule: transfer RNA, 76 nt
Filed under: Candidatus Thiodiazotropha sp. (ex Ustalcina ferruginea)
Lineage: Bacteria; Pseudomonadati; Pseudomonadota; Gammaproteobacteria; Chromatiales; Sedimenticolaceae
Description: tRNA-Val
Rfam family: tRNA
About the family: Transfer RNA (tRNA) molecules are approximately 80 nucleotides in length. Their secondary structure includes four short double-helical elements and three loops (D, anti-codon, and T loops).
Source: RNAcentral
GGGUGCUUAGCUCAGCUGGGAGAGCAUCGCCCUUACAAGGCGAGAGUCGCAGGUUCGAUCCCUGCAGCACCCACCA